This 490-nucleotide ribosomal RNA is filed under the name uncultured bacterium. Its description in RNAcentral is "bacterial SSU rRNA". It matches the Rfam family "Bacterial small subunit ribosomal RNA", at positions 588 to 1083 of the family's 1533-position model. The record is from RNAcentral.
UCAGUUGUGAAAGUUUGCGGCUCAACCGUAAAAUUGCAGUUGAUACUGGAUAUCUUGAGUGCAGUUGAGGCAGGCGGAAUUCGUGGUGUAGCGGUGAAAUGCUUAGAUAUCACGAAGAACUCCGAUUGCGAAGGCAGCCUGCUAAGCUGCAACUGACAUUGAGGCUCGAAAGUGUGGGUAUCAAACAGGAUUAGAUACCCUGGUAGUCCACACAGUAAACGAUGAAUACUCGCUGUUUGCGAUAUACAGUAAGCGGCCAAGCGAAAGCAUUAAGUAUUCCACCUGGGGAGUACGCCGGCAACGGUGAAACUCAAAGGAAUUGACGGGGGCCCGCACAAGCGGAGGAACAUGUGGUUUAAUUCGAUGAUACGCGAGGAACCUUACCCGGGCUUAAAUUGCAUUUGAAUAUAUUGGAAACAGUAUAGUCGUAAGACAAAUGUGAAGGUGCUGCAUGGUUGUCGUCAGCUCGUGCCGUGAGGUGUCGGCUUAA